Daphnia magna is the source of this 1330-nucleotide long non-coding RNA. RefSeq lists it as uncharacterized. The transcript has 3 exons. Lineage: Eukaryota; Metazoa; Arthropoda; Branchiopoda; Diplostraca; Daphniidae. The record is from RefSeq and is a predicted model, not a curated record.
GCCGUGUUUGCGCAGUUCGUUCUCGCUCAAUUUGCUCCUCACCUCUACGUGAUCGUAUUCGCAAUCUUGCUGCAAGAGAAAAUCAAACCAAUACAUUCCUAUAUCAUGUCAAAUGAUUCUUGCUAAAGGGCAAAUGGCACGUAAAAUUCCCUAACGAGAAGUGCAGCCAGUCAAGGACCCCCACAACCGCUUGCACAAGUUUUAAGCGUUUCGCCAUUUGAUAGUUGGCUCUCCAUUAGCCGGGCUUCCAACCUUGAUAGAAGCGUGAAUCGUCGGGGAAAGAAGAAACGGGUCAACAGUCAACACUUUGGACAUGCCUUUAUUGGCCCCGUUUUCCCUUGAAGAGACUAGAACUGAAGCGUUCGAAGAGCUAAAUAUUCACAGCAACGAUCGCAUCAGCACUUGACAAGCUACGAAUAUGUAGGUCGUCGUAAAAGGAACAUCUCCAAUCGAUUUGAUCAAAUAUGCAACUAUGCAAAACUGUUGUUAACUGGGAAAAAGUUCCCACAUUCUUUGAAUUUAUCGAUCUAACUAUUGAGAAAUUGGACUAUUUUUCACGAGAAUUGGGGCUUCGGGAAAAAAUGUACGUCUAGUGCCUGGUCGACGUUCAUCAAAAGCUUCCCCUCUAUGUGAUUAUCUACUUGCCUAAGGAAUGCCGAGUUGGAACAAACACGAUUUGCAUAAUUUGCCGAAGGUCGUGAAUUGAAAUUACAACACAAGUGGGCACUGAACUCGAUGCACUUGCAAUUGGUUUUCUUACCUGCUUUACAAGGAUCCAGGUAGAUGUCGUCAGAUAUCCGAUGAGGAAAGCGUUUAGUUAGAAGUUCAUGGAUGCUAAAGUCAUCAGCAGAGGCGGCCGAUUGCGGCCCGACCAGGAACGCAGAAGCGACGAUUACAAGACCCGCACGAAACAAAACGAUGGCGGACGGUCGUCUGACUACGACCGGACUCGUUAUGGACGGACGCAUCUUAAUGAUUUCCUCUUACAGAGAGGAAGUUGGCUAAACAGAAGAAAAAGAAAAACAAAGAAGAGAACGUUUUUGUUUUGUUUUUCUUCUUGUUUCUCCAGUCGCUCAACUGACCCCCCGCACUGCUCCGACUGGAUAACCUUCUUUCUUCGUACGUACGAAAACAGAGACUGUUUAAAAAAAAAAUAAAUAAAGCACCAAACUAACGCUAUUUUUAGGUAGGCUCACAAUCGGCUUGUUCUUCCUUUUUAAUCGCUAGACCCAAUGGGACUGUCCCCUCCAACAAAACGUAGCUGCUCGAAGAUGAAUCGACUCUCCUCUCUUUCGCCUUUUUUUUUUUUUGUGUGGUGAGGGCUUAUUUU